CAGCAGAAACGGCAGCCACCACGCCUGAAUUCGUAGGGUCUUAUUGGCGACCAUGGGGCACGCUCUAUUUAGUCCCAUCUUCCACGCGGUUCUUCCUCACCCCUGCGUAUCCCGACAACUGCCAGAUUCCAGGAGCCAUUCCAAGUUCGAACGCAGCAGCAGCAAGCGGAAUUAUGUCGGAUUUCUGUGUGAAUUGAUUUCAUCCAUAUCAGCGAACUCUCUCUGACGUAUGGAUAGUGGGGAAAGUUCUUCCCGUCUACCACUACAACGUGGGCUUCCACGAGGUCGACACGGCCGUCGUCAGCGCACAACAUCGCCUGAUCCAGUGCCUGCUCCAACUCGGGCGGCGGCUGCUGGAUCUCGCUAUAGGCGCAGGCUAGCAAAUGCAUCUGGGGCUUCUUCUUCGUCCAUUGAACAAAAUAUGAACACAGCAAGCUCAUCUAUGGCACAAAAUGUUUUUGUUCAGCUCUGGCUCUGUCACAAGCCCAACCCGGCAUCAUCGACGUAAGCUUUAAUAUUCCUAGCCUUUGUGAGCUGCAAUCAGAAAAAAAAAACUAAUUCACUUUGUUGUAUUCUUAUACUCCUUCAAGAACAAUCUUUACACCUUUAUAUCUUGGAGGCCCUCAGCAUAUUGUGUGCAUUGCCAUUCUUUCUAAUAGUGUAAAACUGUCCUUUGAAAUAAUGUUGUAUUUGAAUAACAUUAUCUACAGAUAGAUUCAUGGUUCUAGCUACUGUACCAGAUCCGGCAACACCCCCUGUCCCCAGACCCCCUUCUAAAUCCACUACACCAUCCGUAUUGAUUUUAAUCCACAAGUGUUCUGGUCGCUGCCACUUCUUCUCGAUGACAACAGAAAUAAUGGCUUUCUCAUUGGAAGGGAUCUCCAGAAAUUUACUCAACUCAUUAACCAAAUCCAUAGAAAUAUAAUCAUGAUGUGAAUGUUGUAUUCAGCCUACUAGACUGUGUUGCAUGUUAUCAUGUAUUGAGUCCUGACUGAACUAUCCCUUCUCUCAUGUGUCCCUUUGGAUCUGUAACCCUAGCUAGCUGGUAGUGUAAUUAGUUUGUUUGUUCAUGGAACUGAUUUUCGCCACUUCAUCUCUGCUUCGUGAUAUUCAUUGUCCUGGAUUUGAUGAUGACUUUC
Molecule: long non-coding RNA, 1139 nt
Organism: Brachypodium distachyon (stiff brome)
Lineage: Eukaryota; Viridiplantae; Streptophyta; Magnoliopsida; Poales; Poaceae
Exons: 3
Source: RefSeq, a predicted model, not a curated record